Molecule: long non-coding RNA, 1179 nt
Filed under: Junco hyemalis (dark-eyed junco)
Lineage: Eukaryota; Metazoa; Chordata; Aves; Passeriformes; Passerellidae
Description: lncRNA (ENSJHYG00000008316.1)
Source: RNAcentral
AAUAAUGAGUAAAACCCUACCCUAGCACUAGGGCCCAACAACUAGGGUUGUUUGGGACCAAAGCCUUUCUAGGUCUCCAGAGGCAGGAUUGAGACCUCUGUGAGCCCGGUGGGCAGACGGCACAAACUGCUGCGCUAAUGGCAAACAGAGUUAGCCCAGGUUUCAAGGGUUACUGAGCCGGGUGCUGACUCUAUUUGCGAUGAAAACAAGACCCUGUUACCUCGUAGCUGCCUGAUAAAUACGUCUCCCUUACAAGCAAGUAAACAUUUUGAAAGACUGCAGUGACUUAUAGUAUUUCUGUAGGGUGAGAAGAAAAUUAUUUGAAAGUUGUUAUAUUUCUCCCACGUUACAAACACGUGGUAGAAAUGAGUACAGAGUAAGGAGGGAUGAAUUGCUUCUGUCUGUGCAAGAACGACCAAGCAGCGAGGUACCGUGAGACGCCUCCCUCACACAAACAGAGAAUAAAUGGUGGCAGCUGUGGGAUGUUUGCUGCAAGGUGGAGGAGGCUGCUGGCUCCCUGCUGCUGUCCCUGCUCCCACCGCAUUCGGGGAUGACAUAACCAGGGUGAGAAAACUCUGAAAACACUGCAGCUGCUGAGAAUGGAAGCUAUUCUGAAGUGUUAGGAAAAGAAAGUCACAAAAGAUGGAGUCCACCUGGUUUCCUUGGGAUUCAGACACACUGAAGAAAGACUGAAGUGUGUAUCCCCUCAGAAAAGCAGGUGGGGCAAUAUGCAGCAUUUACACCAAAACUGCAGCUUUUAAACCAUGUAGAAAGCAGUGGAAAGAAGCUUGGUUUCCCACAGGAAGAACACAGCAAGGGAAGAGGGUUUGUGACUGUGUGUCCUUGCCUGAGGAACCCGAGGGAUGUGAGCUUUGGCACACUGUCAUGGCCUGACAGGCAGUGACACAGAUGGAUCCCCUUGGCUGGGUGGCAGUGGCCUUGUCCUUGCUCCCAGUGAGAGCCUUGUGGUGCAGGGAUAGAACAUUCCUGUCACUCCAGCAAGUGUUCCACUGUGUCCUCCAUUUAAUCAGGCCUAGGAACACUAUUUUUCCCCUACAUCCAUAAAUUACUUAUUCCCAUGAAGUGUGACUUCUGCUUUAAAUCACCUAUGUAAACUGUACUAGAUACAGCCAUGCUAAAUUUAAUAAAUAGGCAUUUUAUAUUUUAUUUAUAUAAUAA